GAUGAACGCUGGCGGCGUGCUUAACACAUGCAAGUCGAACGGAAAGGCUCCUGCUUGCAGGGGUACUCGAGUGGCGAACGGGUGAGUAACACGUGGGUGAUCUGCCCUGCACUUCGGGAUAAGCCUGGGAAACUGGGUCUAAUACCGGAUAGGACCACAUUUUGGAUGGUGUGGUGGAAAGUUUUUCGGUGUGGGAUGAGCUCGCGGCCUAUCAGCUUGUUGGUGGGGUAAUGGCCUACCAAGGCGUCGACGGGUAGCCGGCCUGAGAGGGUGUACGGCCACAUUAGGACUGAGAUACGGCCCAGACUCCUACGGGAGGCAGCAGUGGGGAAUAUUGCACAAUGGGCGCAAGCCUGAUGCAGCGACGCCGCGUGGGGGAUGACGGCCUUCGGGUUGUAAACUCCUUUCGCUAGGGACGAAGCGCAAGUGACGGUACCUGGAGAAGAAGCACCGGCUAACUACGUG
Molecule: ribosomal RNA, 465 nt
Filed under: uncultured bacterium
Lineage: Bacteria
Description: partial 16S ribosomal RNA
Rfam family: Bacterial small subunit ribosomal RNA
Source: RNAcentral